GUUAGGGAAGAGCAGGGGGUCCUUCCUCUUCAGUUUUGGUCUUGAGUGUUACUGAACCAUUUUGACUCAUCAGCUAAGCAGAGACGUAUCCUAGCCAAGACCCGGGAAAGCGGUCUCCCUCCAUACUUGGCAUCCAGAUUCUGACCCAGUAUUUUGAGGGCAUCCCCGUCACCCUCCUGUCCUCACAAGGAAAGAAGUUGCAUUCUAACGGUCCCAAGAACUCUACCAAACCCUGUCCCUCAUAGAGUUUACAUACAAUGGAAGGAAAUAGACAACAAACAAUAAAUGGACAAAAUAUUUGGAUCCUAUGGUUACAACUCAGGAACAACCAAAUGGAAGAGAUGCAAAAGGCAAAGAAUGAAGGCACAAGCAGCUUCCAUGCCCUCUCCUGGAACGCCACUCCCCCAGCACCUGGGCACGUUCACCAUCCUGAAAGCUCUCUGAACUCUGCCAUGAUGAGGACUCAUCAUGUAUACGUCGUAGAUUAACAACUCAAACUC
Long non-coding RNA from Pteronotus mesoamericanus, 500 nucleotides. RefSeq lists it as uncharacterized. The record is from RefSeq and is a predicted model, not a curated record. The transcript is spliced from 4 exons. Lineage: Eukaryota; Metazoa; Chordata; Mammalia; Chiroptera; Mormoopidae.